AGGGAGCCUGAUAAACGGCUACCACAUCCAAGGAAG
RNAcentral lists this ribosomal RNA (36 nucleotides) under Pelobates cultripes (western spadefoot toad). Its description in RNAcentral is "SSU_rRNA_eukarya". The record is from RNAcentral. Lineage: Eukaryota; Metazoa; Chordata; Amphibia; Anura; Pelobatidae.